AACGCACAUUGCGCCCCUUGGUAUUCCGAGGGGCAUGCCUGUUCGAGCGUCAUUAUGACCACUCAAGCCUAGCUUGGUAUUGGGGUUCGCGGUCUCGCGGCCUCUAAAAUCAGUGGCGGUGCCGUCUGGCUCUAAGCGUAGUAAUUUUCUCGCUAUGGGGUCCGGACAGUUACUUCCUAAACCCCAACUUCUCACGGUUGACCUCGGAUCAGGUAGGGAUACCCGCUGAACUUAA
This 235-nucleotide unclassified non-coding RNA is filed under the name uncultured fungus. RNAcentral's name for it is "sequence contains ITS2". The stretch from base 1 to 52 matches the Rfam family "5.8S ribosomal RNA", at positions 103 to 154 of the family's 154-position model. The record is from RNAcentral. Lineage: Eukaryota; Fungi.